RNAcentral lists this ribosomal RNA (630 nucleotides) under Alteromonas macleodii. RNAcentral describes it as "bacterial SSU rRNA". It matches the Rfam family "Bacterial small subunit ribosomal RNA", at positions 69 to 695 of the family's 1533-position model. The record is from RNAcentral. Lineage: Bacteria; Pseudomonadati; Pseudomonadota; Gammaproteobacteria; Alteromonadales; Alteromonadaceae.
GUAACAGGUAUGUGCUUGCACAUCGCUGUACGAGUGGCGGACGGGUGAGUAAUGCUUGGGAACUUGCCUUUGCGAGGGGGAUAACAGUUGGAAACGACUGCUAAUACCGCAUAAUGUCUUCGGACCAAACGGGGCUUAGGCUCCGGCGCAAAGAGAGGCCCAAGUGAGAUUAGCUAGUUGGUAAGGUAAUGGCUUACCAAGGCGACGAUCUCUAGCUGUUCUGAGAGGAAGAUCAGCCACACUGGGACUGAGACACGGCCCAGACUCCUACGGGAGGCAGCAGUGGGGAAUAUUGCACAAUGGGGGAAACCCUGAUGCAGCCAUGCCGCGUGUGUGAAGAAGGCCUUCGGGUUGUAAAGCACUUUCAGUUGUGAGGAAAAGUUAGUAGUUAAUACCUGCUAGCCGUGACGUUAACAACAGAAGAAGCACCGGCUAACUCCGUGCCAGCAGCCGCGGUAAUACGGAGGGUGCGAGCGUUAAUCGGAAUUACUGGGCGUAAAGCGCACGCAGGCGGUUUGUUAAGCUAGAUGUGAAAGCCCCGGGCUCAACCUGGGAUGGUCAUUUAGAACUGGCAGACUAGAGUCUUGAGAGGGGAGUGGAAUUCCAGGUGUAGCGGUGAAAUGCGUAGAU